AGCGAACGCUGGCGGCAGGCCUUACACAUGCAAGUCGAACGAAGUCUUCGGACUUAGUGGCGGACGGGUGAGUAACACGUGGGAACGUGCCUUUAGGUUCGGAAUAACUCAGGGAAACUUGUGCUAAUACCGAAUGUGCCCUUCGGGGGAAAGAUUUAUCGCCUUUAGAGCGGCCCGCGUCUGAUUAGCUAGUUGGUGAGGUAAAGGCUCACCAAGGCGACGAUCAGUAGCUGGUCUGAGAGGAUGAUCAGCCACAUUGGGACUGAGACACGGCCCAAACUCCUACGGGAGGCAGCAGUGGGGAAUCUUGCGCAAUGGGCGAAAGCCUGACGCAGCCAUGCCGCGUGAAUGAUGAAGGUCUUAGGAUUGUAAAAUUCUUUCACCGGGGACGAUAAUGACGGUACCCGGAGAAGAAGCCCCGGCUAACUUCGUGCCAGCAGCCGCCGCGG
This 449-nucleotide ribosomal RNA is filed under the name uncultured bacterium. RNAcentral's name for it is "partial 16S ribosomal RNA". It matches the Rfam family "Bacterial small subunit ribosomal RNA", at positions 29 to 523 of the family's 1533-position model. The record is from RNAcentral.